RNAcentral lists this transfer-messenger RNA (372 nucleotides) under Ancalomicrobiaceae bacterium. It matches the Rfam family "Alphaproteobacteria transfer-messenger RNA". From Rfam's summary of the family: Bacterial tmRNA, also known as 10Sa RNA or SsrA, is named for its dual tRNA and mRNA-like properties. Its role is to liberate the mRNA from a stalled ribosome. The record is from RNAcentral. Lineage: Bacteria; Pseudomonadati; Pseudomonadota; Alphaproteobacteria; Hyphomicrobiales; Ancalomicrobiaceae.
CCCCUUCCCUCCAACCAUUGCCGCGCCUAUAUUCGCCCCGUCGGUCGCAAGGCCGACUAUGGCGAUAAACGAGCGGCGUAAUACACCUUUCGGACCCGGGGGCAGUACCCGGCGCCUCCACCAGAGCGCGUCAAGUCGGCAGUAGAGCCGAGUGGCGCGUUGCGGCGGGGGCGAACUAGGAUCGACGAGGGUCUAAAGACCGUUUUUUUGCCCGGCAUGAUACCGCCGUUAUCGGGUCACCCUAUAGUUGCAAACGACAACUAUGCUCCGGUUGCAAUGGCCGCGUGAGCGGUUUUUGACUCCGGGUUCAAGCCCUAACGGUUAGCCCCGUUAGGCGGGGUUCGGGGGUACCUGGCAACAGAAACCCUCACU